CAGGGGAUUGCAGUGGCAAAGCUAGGCUAGGUCUUGGAGGCUGGUGUAAGGCGAUGCGGGUGAAGGCAGGAGGCUGAUGGAAAGACUGGGGGGAAGAAAAGCCGAAAUGGAUUCACGGUGCCUUGGAUGAAGGACGAGAGGGGAACUGCAAGCUCCUUCAACUGGUUCUGUCCGGUGAGAAGUGAUCAAGCUUGGGCUGACAAGAGGCUCAGGGAGCCCUCACGUUCUUUCGCUUUUUUACCUGCCAAUCAAACUGCUACAAGACAACACCCUGAUCUGGCAUGGACAUUCAUUGCAGUCACCUGGAGUCGCGGAAAUGACCAUGAUUGCCUGAACUUUCAUAACUUCUGUGGUUGCAGAAAAGAGAAAACCUGGACUGUGAGGGACAUUUUACUCCCUGACCUUUGGUACAUGAGUCUUGCUGCGACGCCCAGGCUGCUGGAGUGCAAUGGUGUGAUAUCUGCUCACUGCAACCUUUGAUUCCCAGGUUCAAGAGAUUCUCCUG
RNAcentral lists this small RNA (505 nucleotides) under Pongo abelii (Sumatran orangutan). RNAcentral describes it as "sense overlapping". The stretch from base 14 to 289 matches the Rfam family "SOX2 overlapping transcript exon 3". Rfam says of the family: SOX2 overlapping transcript (SOX2OT) is a long non-coding RNA, containing at least 5 exons. Lineage: Eukaryota; Metazoa; Chordata; Mammalia; Primates; Hominidae. The record is from RNAcentral.